Marmota flaviventris (yellow-bellied marmot) is the source of this 744-nucleotide long non-coding RNA. RefSeq lists it as uncharacterized. NCBI's taxonomy places the organism in Eukaryota, Metazoa, Chordata, Mammalia, Rodentia, Sciuridae. The record is from RefSeq and is a predicted model, not a curated record.
UGCAGCUUCUACCUGGGACUGGUAGGACACAUACUCUUGGGACACACCUUUUUAGAGCCAGCUGCUGGGCUCUAAGGGUGGUAAACUACAAGGAGAGAUCACAAGUGGCCACCCUGCUUUGCAUACAGAGCUCAUGGUCAACAACUAGCAUCAGUUGCCUGCUCUGUGAGGAAGACUUCUUAGACAGUCAUCCCAGUGAAGCCACCAGAGGUCUUUGAUCUCAGCCAACAUCUGACUGCAGCUGCUUAACGAACCCCGUUCUUAAACUGUCCACGUGUGUGGAGUUCACCCAAAGCACCAUGAGAGGUGAUACUGAUUUUCUGUUCUACAACAGGGAGUUUGGGGUGAUUUGUUCCACAGCAACCAAACGGUAACACCCACCAACCCCUGUCGAGAACACACUAUUCUUCAUGAUUUAUUGAGAAAAGGAAAAAAUGAAGAAGUAAUGGUGUAAUCUUCCAGGGAAUCCAUGUCCUCACCUAUAAAAUACCUCAAGGAAUUCUCUCCCGCUUACUAUACUCAAUAUAUUCUCCCUGACACCAUAUCUCCUAUCACUUAUGGCUUAGGACUUGUGCUAGUUACUAUAUGUAUUACUUUUCACAGAUUCAUGAUUAGUUUUUACAUGUAUGUAGUCUACAUCCUCAACUAUAUGUAAAUUCCUUGGUUAUUGUCUUUUCUUUCCAUUGUACUGUCUACUGUGUUCAAUAAAUGCCAACUGUUUUUCUGCUUCGUGGGCUACAUCAA